This 454-nucleotide ribosomal RNA is filed under the name Flavobacterium sp. R-42675. RNAcentral describes it as "bacterial SSU rRNA". It matches the Rfam family "Bacterial small subunit ribosomal RNA", at positions 21 to 476 of the family's 1533-position model. The record is from RNAcentral. Lineage: Bacteria; Pseudomonadati; Bacteroidota; Flavobacteriia; Flavobacteriales; Flavobacteriaceae.
GGCUCAGGAUGAACGCUAGCGGCAGGCUUAACACAUGCAAGUCGAGGGGUAUAGUUCUUCGGAAUUAGAGACCGGCGCACGGGUGCGUAACGCGUAUGCAAUCUACCUUUUACAGAGGGAUAGCCCAGAGAAAUUUGGAUUAAUACCUCAUAGCAUAGCAGCUUCGCAUGAAGCCACUAUUAAAGUCACAACGGUAAAAGAUGAGCAUGCGUCCCAUUAGCUAGUUGGUAAGGUAACGGCUUACCAAGGCUACGAUGGGUAGGGGUCCUGAGAGGGAGAUCCCCCACACUGGUACUGAGACACGGACCAGACUCCUACGGGAGGCAGCAGUGAGGAAUAUUGGACAAUGGGCGCAAGCCUGAUCCAGCCAUGCCGCGUGCAGGAUGACGGUCCUAUGGAUUGUAAACUGCUUUUGUACAGGAAGAAACACUGGUUCGUGAACCAGCUUGACGGU